CACAUCCUUCCUUCCUUAGAUAUGGUGCCCAAAAAUGCUCACAAUAUUCCAAAUGCGGCUUGACCAGCGCGUUAUAGAGCCUCACCAUUACAUCCCUAAAUUUCGGGUCGGG
Molecule: long non-coding RNA, 112 nt
Organism: Amblyraja radiata (thorny skate)
Lineage: Eukaryota; Metazoa; Chordata; Chondrichthyes; Rajiformes; Rajidae
Exons: 3
Source: RefSeq, a predicted model, not a curated record